This 406-nucleotide ribosomal RNA is filed under the name uncultured bacterium. Its description in RNAcentral is "partial 16S ribosomal RNA". It matches the Rfam family "Bacterial small subunit ribosomal RNA", at positions 30 to 526 of the family's 1533-position model. The record is from RNAcentral.
AUUGAACGCUGGCGGCAGGCCUAACACAUGCAAGUCGAACGAGUGGCGGACGGGUGAGUAAUGUCUGGGACACUGCCUGAUGGAGGGGGAUCACUACUGGAAACGGUAGCUAAUACCGCAUACCAUCGGAUGUGCCCAGAGGGGAUUAGCUAGUAGGAGGGGUAACGGCUCACCUAGGCGACGAUCCCGAGCUGGUCUGAGAGGAUGAACAGCCACACUGGAACUGAGACACGGUCCAGACUCCUACGGGAGGCAGCAGUGGGGAAUAUUGCACAAUGGGCGCAAGCCUGAUGCCGCCAUGCCGCGUGUAUGAAGAAGGCCUUCGGGUUGUAAAGUACUUUCAGCGGGGAGGCGUUACCCGCAGAAGAAGCACCGGCUAACUCCGUGCCAGCAGCCGCGGUAAUAC